This is a long non-coding RNA of Apis florea (little honeybee), 1266 nucleotides long. Lineage: Eukaryota; Metazoa; Arthropoda; Insecta; Hymenoptera; Apidae. The record is from RefSeq and is a predicted model, not a curated record.
GAAGAAGAAGAAGAGAGAGAGAGAGAGAGAGAGAGAGAGAGAGAGAGAGAGAGAGAGAGAGGGAGAGAGAAAGAGAGAAGAGUACCAGCGACGCUCUCGAGAGGAUCGGAAGGAUCGAACGGAGGAGAGCAACAGGCUCCUAGCGUGGAAGGAAGACGGUGGAGGGGAGGCGGCACAACUGGAGAGUUCGGUGCAACCGUCGAUUCCAUUUCGUUAGUUCGCGCUCGGUCUCCUUUUUCGUACGCGUGUCAGUCUACGAGCGAGCAGCUACGUUCCUCGUCGGAGACCUUGUCGGUUCGCGGCCGUCGAUCGUUUCGCGGUCGCGCCUCUGUGUUACGUUCUUGUCACGUUUCUGUUGCUCGAAGGGAGAAGCGAAGAGAAGAUUGCGAUUUUUUUUUUUCCUUCUUUUUUUUUUCGCCGAGGAAAAUGUCAAGGAAGAUGCGCCCGGAGCGCGGCUACCGGCUCGACACGAGAGUGGCGAGCCGCUACCAACCAUUCUGAGGACGGAGGACGACGCAUCGUCGAUCGUCACGCGAGAAGGAAGUGCAACCCGUGAUUCUUCCUGUCGUGAGACCCAGUGUCGGCCGCGUUGCGUUGGCCACGGAGCGUGGUGGAACAGGGAGAGGAGAAGCGGAAGGAUGGAUGGGCGGCAGGCAGAGAAGAAGGGUGGCCGGUCGUGGCCGCGGAGGGGUUCGCUCACAUCCACUCGCUCGCGAUGCGUUCGUUCGUUUCAGCAUAUAAGUAGGUGCGGAGUCGCAGUCGCGCGAUCGCUCGCCGGCCGCGCGCGCAAAAUGGCUGGCAGAUUUAGUAGUGGACUUACGUAACGCGGUUGUGCAUGUGCCGAACGCACGGGUCCGCUAUACCGUGUAUAUACACACGUAUUAUAUUUCCCUUCAAGAGGUGACAGUUGGCCGUAUCGUAUACGGGAUAUACGUCCAGAGAUUCCUAAUUAAUUCUUCUUCUUCUUCUUCUUCUUCUUCUUGCUCCUCCGAUUAAUUUCGACGCCUUUUUUCUCUUCGUCUUAUCUGACUUCUUUUCUUCCUUCCGUCGCGGGGAAAGAGAAUGAAGAGCGGGGGAAAAAGAAAAAGGAAAAGAGCGCGAGGGACGCAUUUGAUCGUCGAGAUCAUUGGUUCGUAUCGAAACGACGUAUCGUCGUCGUUUCAAGGGUCAGCAUAUUAAGGUUUACGUAACGGCUUCACGUGUCGAAGACGAUACGAGCCAGCUUUUCUUAUCGUUCGCGAGGAGUUUCUUCCGAACGAACGAAAG